RNAcentral lists this RNase P RNA (313 nucleotides) under Candidatus Bathyarchaeota archaeon. RNAcentral describes it as "RNase P RNA component". It matches the Rfam family "Archaeal RNase P". Rfam says of the family: Ribonuclease P (RNase P) is a ubiquitous endoribonuclease, found in archaea, bacteria and eukarya as well as chloroplasts and mitochondria. Its best characterised activity is the generation of mature 5'-ends of tRNAs by cleaving the 5'-leader elements of precursor-tRNAs. Lineage: Archaea; Thermoproteati; Candidatus Bathyarchaeota. The record is from RNAcentral.
GUGAGUUGGCGUGUGGCUUUCGAGCCUCAAUGCAAUAGGAGGUUUGAGGAAACUCCGCCCACGCGUAGAACUGCAGCAUCCGCAAGGGUGCAUGGCGAGAGCCUUGGCAACAGAGCAGAAACGAGACGCCCGCUCAAGCAUAAGCCUAUGAUGCGCCGAUGAGGUGUUGAGGUCGCUGGGUGAGACGGUGAAACGGCUGUCCUGCAGGUGGAAAGGGCAAACAGACGCAGAUGAAGACUCUACCUGAAGCGCGGGUAGCCCGAUCAGCCAAAUGCCACAAAACUGAACAAAAGGCGGGUUACAGCCAACACAC